GACGAACGCUGGCGGCGUGCCUAAUACAUGCAAGUCGAGCGAAUGGAAGGGAGCUUGCUCCCUGAAGUUAGCGGCGGACGGGUGAGUAACACGUGGGCAACCUGCCUGUAAGACUGGGAUAACUUCGGGAAACCGGAGCUAAUACCGGAUACGUUCUUUUCUCGCAUGAGGAAAGAUGGAAAGAUGGUUUCGGCUAUCACUUACAGAUGGGCCCGCGGCGCAUGAGCUAGUUGGUGGGGUAAUGGCGCACCAAGGCGACGAUGCGUAGCCGACCUGAGAGGGUGAUCGGCCACACUGGGACUGAGACACGGCCCAGACUCCUACGGGAGGCAGCAGUAGGGAAUCUUCCGCAAUGGACGAAAGUCUGACGGAGCAACGCCGCGUGAACGAAGAAGGCCUUCGGGUCGUAAAGCUCUGUUGUCAGGGAAGAACAAGUGCCAGAGUAACUGCUGGCACCUUGACGGUACCUGACCAGAAAGCCACGGCUAACUACGUGCCAGCAGCCGCGGUAA
Molecule: ribosomal RNA, 512 nt
Filed under: uncultured bacterium
Lineage: Bacteria
Description: partial 16S ribosomal RNA
Rfam family: Bacterial small subunit ribosomal RNA
Source: RNAcentral